RNAcentral lists this long non-coding RNA (291 nucleotides) under Anas platyrhynchos platyrhynchos (common mallard). RNAcentral's name for it is "lncRNA (ENSAPLG00000025347.1)". The record is from RNAcentral. Lineage: Eukaryota; Metazoa; Chordata; Aves; Anseriformes; Anatidae.
CUUCUCAGUACAGUAAAACCCUGGUGGUACUAUUUCACUGGGAAGUAGUUUGGCAGUGACUUAAGUUCAGAAGCUGGCAGUGAGUUCUGGCAGCUUUGCAAAGCUUUGACUGUUCUUGGGAUGAUCUGACUAGAUGUUCUUCUCAUUAUGCCUCUAGAAUGCAUGUUGGAAAGAAUUUCCAUCUGCUGAGGAACAGUAAUGUAAAAUUGAAUUCUUAGAAUAUUUCUUCUAGUAAGUAUUUGUUUCUUCUAGUUUUUCUUGUAUCCUAAUGUCAAGGUGUCUUUAACUUUC